GUGCUCACUUCAGCAGCACAUAUACUAUGAUUGGAACGAUACAGAGAAGAUUAGCAUGGCUCCUACAGCAGGAUGACAUGCAAAUUCAUGAAGCAUUCCAUAUAUAU
Molecule: small nuclear RNA, 107 nt
Organism: Dromiciops gliroides (monito del monte)
Lineage: Eukaryota; Metazoa; Chordata; Mammalia; Microbiotheria; Microbiotheriidae
Source: RefSeq, a predicted model, not a curated record